GGAAUGGUAACUCAAUCGGUCAGAGUUCCCGGCUCAUAACCGGGAUGUUGCGAGUUCGAGUCUCGCCCAUUCCACUA
RNAcentral lists this transfer RNA (77 nucleotides) under Desulfurellales bacterium. Its description in RNAcentral is "tRNA-Met". It matches the Rfam family "tRNA". From Rfam's summary of the family: Transfer RNA (tRNA) molecules are approximately 80 nucleotides in length. Their secondary structure includes four short double-helical elements and three loops (D, anti-codon, and T loops). Further hydrogen bonds mediate the characteristic L-shaped molecular structure. tRNAs have two regions of fundamental functional importance: the anti-codon, which is responsible for specific mRNA codon recognition, and the 3' end, to which the tRNAs corresponding amino acid is attached (by aminoacyl-tRNA synthetases). tRNAs cope with the degeneracy of the genetic code in two manners: having more than one tRNA (with a specific anti-codon) for a particular amino acid; and 'wobble' base-pairing, i.e. permitting non-standard base-pairing at the 3rd anti-codon position. Lineage: Bacteria; Pseudomonadati; Campylobacterota; Desulfurellia; Desulfurellales. The record is from RNAcentral.